AGGGUUUGAUUAUGGCUCAGGACGAACGCUGGCGGCGUGCUUAACACAUGCAAGUCGAACGUGAUUUUUGUGGAAAGCCCUUCGGGGACGGAAAUGAAAUGAAAGUGGCGAACGGGUGAGUAACACGUGAGCAACCUACCUUACACAGGGGGAUAGCCGUUGGAAACGACGAUUAAUACCGCAUGAGACCACAAAGCCACAUGGCUUAGGGGUAAAAGAUUUAUCGGUGUAAGAUGGGCUCGCGUCUGAUUAGCUAGUUGGAAGGGUAAAGGCCUACCAAGGCAACGAUCAGUAGCCGGUCUGAGAGGAUGAACGGCCACAUUGGAACUGAGACACGGUCCAA
This 343-nucleotide ribosomal RNA is filed under the name uncultured bacterium. Its description in RNAcentral is "bacterial SSU rRNA". It matches the Rfam family "Bacterial small subunit ribosomal RNA", at positions 8 to 334 of the family's 1533-position model. The record is from RNAcentral.